AGAGGGUGCGAGCGUUAAUCGGAAUUACUGGGCGUAAAGAGCACGUAGGUGGACGUGUAAGUUGGUUGUGAAAUUCCCGGGCUUAACCUGGGGUGGUCAAUCAAAACUGCACAUCUAGAGUAUGGUAGAGGGUAGUGGAAUUUCCGGUGUAGCGGUGAAAUGCGUAGAUAUCGGAAGGAACACCAGUGGCGAAGGCGGCUACCUGGACUAAUACUGACACUGAGGUGCGAAAGCGUGGGUAGCAAACAGGAUUAGAUACCCUGGUAGUCCACGCUGUAAACGAUGAAGACUAGCCCGUUGGGACCCGCGAGGUCAAAGUGGCGCAGCUAACGCGAUAAGUUUUCCGCCUGGGGGAGUACGGCCGCAAGGUUA
This 372-nucleotide ribosomal RNA is filed under the name uncultured organism. Its description in RNAcentral is "partial 16S ribosomal RNA". It matches the Rfam family "Bacterial small subunit ribosomal RNA", at positions 527 to 896 of the family's 1533-position model. The record is from RNAcentral.